This 253-nucleotide ribosomal RNA is filed under the name uncultured bacterium. RNAcentral describes it as "partial 16S ribosomal RNA". It matches the Rfam family "Bacterial small subunit ribosomal RNA", at positions 524 to 776 of the family's 1533-position model. The record is from RNAcentral.
GACAGAGGGUGCAAACGUUGUUCGGAAUUACUGGGUGUAAAGCGCGCGUAGGCAGCAGCGUGUGUCGGGCGUGAAAUCCCACGGCUCAACCGUGGAAGUGCACUCGAAACUGCGCAGCUAGAGUCUCGGAGAGGAAGGCGGAAUGCUUGGUGUAGAGGUGAAAUUCGUAGAUAUCAAGCGGAACACCGGUGGCGAAGGCGGCCUUCUGGACGAUGACUGACGCUGAAGCGCGAAAGCGUGGGGAGCAAACAGG